AGGAAAGGCGGGCUUUAGAGGCGCGGGACUCCCACACUUCCUCUCCGAAGGCCCUGCGCCGGCACUGUAGCCAAUCACAGGCCACGUUUUGUCGCAGCAGCCAAUCGGAAGGGCCUAGUCCUGAAGACGUGCACUUGACCGCUCCUCCCUCUGGGUUGGAGGCAGGAUAGUGGGUUUUACCGCAACUGGUUCGUUUUCCUCCGGUUUUCACCCAUUCUGGCACAAUCCGGCGUCAUCGUCCUUCUUAUGAGGCCAAGCCUGAAAAUGCGAAGCAGAGAGGCAGGACAAAAAUUGAGGCGAAUCGGGAAACCUGCCAAUGAGUCUGCGGGUGCGGUCUCUGGCACUUGGAGGAUAUCGGGAGGAAGAGGCAUGGAAGAGGGAUAAAACGCGGUGCCCUAGGUAUGUUGAAGACAGAGUCGGGCCCAAAAUACGUGAUUUACUGAGAUGUGUGUCGUGUUCUUGCGCUUUAUCUUGUAGCUUUCCGAUGCGGAGAUAACGGGGACGCUCUCGGCCAACCAUUCCGAGAGCAGGAGUCAAAUAGGAUACGCCGACUUUUAACUCAAAGAACCCUUUUCUGAAACCCUUUGCCACAAUGAAAGAAAUAAGGAAUUGUACCCUCAGAGGUGACGGGAAAAGAUACACAGGUCUUGGAAGAUAAUUAUUCAAAAUAUGCAGGGAAGGAAUAAAAUUGAAGGGCGUUUUUCUUAGAGAACAUCAUUUGUCAUAUUUAUUUGAUUAAGAAGUUGAAGAUUUAUAUAAUAAGGAUCUAGUUUGAAGCACUAAGAAGAAUAAGACAUCAGUUUGAAAAGAGGCUCUGUCAGAGCAACACGAAUUCUGCUAAAAUUGAAGCAAGAACAAACAUCAAAUUUAUGUUGAUGCUUGGGUGGGGGAAUUGUGAACUAAUUGAUACUUUAUGAAAAGUUUAUUGGGACAAUGCCCCAAAGAAAUCAGUUUACAAAUGGAUAACUCAUUUUAAGAAUGGAUAAGGUAAUCUUGAAGAAGAAGCCCACAGUGGCAGAUCAUCCACAUCAGUUUGUGAGAAAAAAAAAUUAAUCUAGUUCAUGGCCUAACUGCAGAAAACCAACAGUUUAUAGCAGAAACGACAGUCAACACCAUAGACAUCUCAGUUGGUUCACUUUACACAAUUCUGACUAGAAAAAUUGAGCAAACUUUACACCCGAUAGGUACCAAAACCAUUGCACCCAGAUCAGCUACAGACAGGAGCAGAGCUUUCAGUGGGAAUUUUAAAUAAGUGGGGUCAUGAUCUUGAAGGAUUUCAUUGAAAAAUUGUAACAGGAGAUGAAACACGGCUUUAACAGUGCAAUCCUGAAGACAAAGCGCAAUUAAAGCAAUGGUUACCAAGCUAUGGAAGUAGUUCAGUCAAAGCACAAGUGGACUGGUUGAGAGCAAAGCUCUCAACAGCUUUUGGAUGCUCAAGGUAUUUUGCUUAUUGACUUUCUGUAGGGCCAAAGAAUGGUCACAUCUGCUUAUUAGGAGUGUUUUUGAGACACUUAGCCAAAGCUUUAGCAGAAAAAUGUCCGAGAAAGCUUCACCAGAGAGUUGUUCUCCACAAUGCUUCUACUCAUCUCUCUCAUCAAGGGCAAUUCUGCGAGAGUUUUGAUGGCAGAUCACUAGGUAUCCACCCUAUAGUCCUGAUUUGGCACCUUCUGAUGUUUUGUUUCCUAAUCUUAAAAAUUUUUUUUAAAGCUGUACAUUUUUUUUUCAGUUAAUAAUGUAAAAAAAAGAAAAAAAAAAAACUGCAUUGAUGUGGUUAAAUUCCUAGAACUCUCAGUUCUUUAUGGAUGGACUGAAUAGCUGGUAUCAUCACUUACAAGUGUCUUGAACUCCAUAGAACUAAUGUUCAGAAAUAUAGUUUAUAUUUUUGUCUUUUAAUUCCAUUUUCCAGAAACUUUCUGAAGUCUCCUUGAAUAUACACCCUUUGUAGAGGGGAAAAAUUCUUGUGACUGUUUAUACUGACUUACUGCUGACUUAAUUUUCUAUUUUGUAAUAUGUACAAACUUAAAAGUUGAUACAAAUUUGGUUUAUAGCCCUUAAACAAAUUUGUGAAAUAAAUGCAUUCAGAAACAAACUAAACCAACAUUCAUGGAAUGGAUGCUACUGUUUUACUGAGGUGUAAAGGUGGUACUGGCUGCUAUGGAAAAAGUUACAUAUAAACAGU
Long non-coding RNA from Cebus imitator (Panamanian white-faced capuchin), 2179 nucleotides. RefSeq lists it as uncharacterized. The transcript has 4 exons. Lineage: Eukaryota; Metazoa; Chordata; Mammalia; Primates; Cebidae. The record is from RefSeq and is a predicted model, not a curated record.